RNAcentral lists this ribosomal RNA (408 nucleotides) under uncultured bacterium. RNAcentral's name for it is "partial 16S ribosomal RNA". It matches the Rfam family "Bacterial small subunit ribosomal RNA", at positions 28 to 526 of the family's 1533-position model. The record is from RNAcentral.
GACGAACGCUGGCGGCGUGCUUAACACAUGCAAGUCGAACGGAGUGGCGAACGGGUGAGUAACACGUGGGUGAUCUGCCUUGCACUUCGGGAUAAGCUUGGGAAACUGGGUCUAAUACCGGAUAGUGCAAGAUGAGCUGGCGGCCUAUCAGCUUGUUGGUGGGGUAAGGGCCUACCAAGGCGUGGACGGGUAGCCGGCCUGAGCGGGUGUACGGCCACAUGGGGACUGGGAGACGGCCCAGACGCCAACGGGAGGCAGUAGUGGGGAAGAUUGCACAGUGGGCGGAGGCCUGAGGCAGAGACGCCGGGUGGGGGAGGAAGGUGUGCGUGUUGUAAACUCCUUUCGACAGGGCCGCGGUACCUGAAUAGGAAGCACCGGCUAACUACGUGCCAGCAGCCGCGGUAAUUC